UUGAACAAAGACUGCAUUCUUCUGAUUGCAUAGGCAUACUUUAAAGCUCACAUUCAGUUCUUACCACAGCCACCCAAGCAAUCUGGAAUCCCACACAAACGUGCCUUCUAGACAGGAAGUUUUUAUGAACAUUUUGGAGAAGACAACAAAAACAAGAACAAAAAUGAGAACGGCUGGCUGAGUCUGAAUCUCAAAAAUCUCAAGCUUCUCAUGCAUUUUGAGAACUUGUUAAACAAUAUGAAUAUUCUCCUUGAUGGAAUUUAAAAAGCAUGUGGUUCGAGUCAUCAUUGGGAAAACAUGACAAGGAUUGUGGAACACACAUGAAUUCCAACUUGCUGGGAACCCGCACAUUUUCUUUGAAGAAUUGCUAAAAUCAACCAUCAAGAACAGUAAACGCCAAUACUUUGCCUUGAGAGGAAUUGGGGGUUUGAGCUAAAAUAUCUAAAGGACUUGAAAUCUGUAAUUAAACACAGACUUGGUCUUAAGUUUCCUAAUCCUCUCUUUAUCAUCAACAUUCUGCAAUAACUUCUUUCUAAACUUCCCUGCCUCAGUUUACUAGUUCAGCUCUCUGAUACAAUAAUCUCCACAAACAAUCAUUUUUGCUCAGUUGCUUUUCAUUCAUUUAUGGUUUUUCCAGUUUUAGUCUUAACUGGAAUGAAUGAACAUAUGACUUUAA
Long non-coding RNA from Sapajus apella (tufted capuchin), 676 nucleotides. RefSeq lists it as uncharacterized. The transcript is spliced from 2 exons. Lineage: Eukaryota; Metazoa; Chordata; Mammalia; Primates; Cebidae. The record is from RefSeq and is a predicted model, not a curated record.